AGAGUUUGAUCAUGGCUCAGAUUGAACGCUGGCGGCAGGCCUAACACAUGCAAGUCGAGCGGCAGCGGAAAGUAGCUUGCUACUUUGCCGGCGAGCGGCGGACGGGUGAGUAAUGUCUGGGAAACUGCCUGAUGGAGGGGGAUAACUACUGGAAACGGUAGCUAAUACCGCAUACGUCAUCAUUCCACAUGGAAAGGUGACAAAAGACGCUACGGUGUCACUGUUGGAUGGGCCCGCGCUGCAUUAGUUAGUUGGUGAGGUAACGGCUCACCAAGACUAUGAUGCAUAGCCGACCUGAGAGGGUGAUCGGCCACACUGGAACUGAGACACGGUCCAGACUCCUACGGGAGGCAGCAGUGGGGAAUAUUGCACAAUGGGCGCAAGCCUGAUGCAGCCAUGCCGCGUGUAUGAAGAAGGCCUUCGGGUUGUAAAGUACUUUCAGCGGGGAGGAAGGCGUUGAGGUUAAUAACCUCAGCGAUUGACGUUACCCGCAGAAGAAGCACCGGCUAACUCCGUGCCAGCAGCCGCGGUAAUAC
Molecule: ribosomal RNA, 536 nt
Filed under: uncultured bacterium
Lineage: Bacteria
Description: bacterial SSU rRNA
Rfam family: Bacterial small subunit ribosomal RNA
Source: RNAcentral